Camelus ferus (Wild Bactrian camel) is the source of this 45-nucleotide regulatory RNA element. It matches the Rfam family "Histone 3' UTR stem-loop". Rfam says of the family: The mRNAs of metazoan histone genes lack a poly-A tail. 3' end processing occurs at a site between a highly conserved stem-loop (modelled by this family) and a purine rich region around 20 nts downstream (the histone downstream element, or HDE). Lineage: Eukaryota; Metazoa; Chordata; Mammalia; Artiodactyla; Camelidae. The record is from Rfam.
CUAAAGGCUCUUUUCAGAGCCAAUAACUUAAAUUAGUGAAAGAUG